UACGUAGGGUGCAAGCGUUGUCCGGAAUUAUUGGGCGUAAAGAGCUCGUAGGCGGUCUGUCGCGUCUGGUGUGAAAAUCCAGGGCUUAACCCUGGACCUGCAUCGGGUACGGGCAGACUAGAGUGCGGUAGGGGAGAUCGGAAUUCCUGGUGUAGCGGUGAAAUGCGCAGAUAUCAGGAGGAACACCGGUGGCGAAGGCGGGUCUCUGGGCCGUAACUGACGCUGAGGAGCGAAAGCGUGGGGAGCGAACAGG
RNAcentral lists this ribosomal RNA (253 nucleotides) under uncultured bacterium. RNAcentral describes it as "partial 16S ribosomal RNA". It matches the Rfam family "Bacterial small subunit ribosomal RNA", at positions 524 to 776 of the family's 1533-position model. The record is from RNAcentral.